CCGUACACAAAAGCGCAUGUGCUGUGAGCUCGAUGAGUAGGGCGGGACACGUGGUAUCCUGUCUGAAUAUGGGGGGACCAUCCUCCAAGGCUAAAUACUCCUGACUGACCGAUAGUGAACCAGUACCGUGAGGGAAAGGCGAAAAGAACCCCGGCGAGGGGAGUGAAAAAGAACCUGAAACCGUGUACGUACAAGCAGUGGGAGCACAGGUUUACCUGUGUGACUGCGUACCUUUUGUAUAAUGGGUCAGCGACUUAUAUUCUGUAGCAAGGUUAACCGUAUAGGGGAGCCGGAGGGAAACCGAGUCUUAAUUGGGCGUUAAGUUGCAGGGUAUAGACCCGAAACCCGGUGAUCUAGCCAUGGGCAGGUUGAAGGUUGGGUAACACUAACUGGAGGACCGAACCGACUAAUGUUGAAAAAUUAGCGGAUGACCUGUGGCUGGGGGUGAAAGGCCAAUCAAACCGGGAGAUAGCUGGUUCUCCCCGAAAGCUAUUUAGGUAGCGCCUCGUGAAUUCAUCUCCGGGGGUAGAGCACUGUUUCGGCUAGGGGGCCAUCCCGGCUUACCAACCCGAUGCAAACUGCGAAUACCGGAGAAUGUUAUCACGGGAGACACACGGCGGGUGCUAACGUCCGUCGUGAAGAGGGAAACAACCCAGACCGCCAGCUAAGGUCCCAAAGUCAUGGUUAAGUGGGAAACGAUGUGGGAAGGCCCAGACAGCCAGGAUGUUGGCUUAGAAGCAGCCAUCAUUUAAAGAAAGCGUAAUAGCUCACUGGUCGAGUCGGCCUGCGCGGAAGAUGUAACGGGGCUAAACCAUGCACCGAAGCUGCGGCAGCGAACGUAUCACCCAAGACAACUUUACGGAGUUGACGAUUGACGGAGCGAAGCGACGUCAAAGCGUUCAUUAAAGUCGAGUUGGCUUAGGGAUACGUUCGUUGGGUAGGGGAGCGUUCUGUAAGCCUGUGAAGGUGUGUCGUGAGGCAUGCUGGAGGUAUCAGAAGUGCGAAUGCUGACAUAAGUAACGAUAAAGCGGGUGAAAAGCCCGCUCGCCGGAAGACCAAGGGUUCCUGUCCAACGUUAAUCGGGGCAGGGUGAGUCGACCCCUAAGGCGAGGCCGAAAGGCGUAGUCGAUGGGAAACGGGUUAAUAUUCCCGUACUUGGUGUUACUGCGAAGGGGGGACGGAGAAGGCUAUGUUGGCCGGGCGACGGUUGUCCCGGUUUAAGCGUGUAGGUGUGUGUUCCAGGUAAAUCCGGUUCACUUUAACACUGAGGCGUGACGACGAGGCACUACGGUGCUGAAGCAACAAAUGCCCUGCUUCCAGGAAAAGCCUCUAAGCAUCAGGUAACAUCAAAUCGUACCCCAAACCGACACAGGUGGUCAGGUAGAGAAUACCAAGGCGCUUGAGAGAACUCGGGUGAAGGAACUAGGCAAAAUGGUGCCGUAACUUCGGGAGAAGGCACGCUGACACGUAGGUGAAGUGAUUUACUCAUGGAGCUGAAGUCAGUCGAAGAUACCAGCUGGCUGCAACUGUUUAUUAAAAACACAGCACUGUGCAA
RNAcentral lists this ribosomal RNA (1555 nucleotides) under Salmonella enterica subsp. enterica serovar Typhimurium. RNAcentral's name for it is "partial 23S ribosomal RNA". It matches the Rfam family "Bacterial large subunit ribosomal RNA", at positions 373 to 1828 of the family's 2925-position model. Lineage: Bacteria; Pseudomonadati; Pseudomonadota; Gammaproteobacteria; Enterobacterales; Enterobacteriaceae. The record is from RNAcentral.